AUUGAACGCUGGCGGCAUGCCUAACACAUGCAAGUCGAACGGCAGCACGGGUGCUUGCACCUGGUGGCGAGUGGCGAACGGGUGAGUAAUACAUCGGAAUAUGUCCUGUAUUGGGGGAUAGUCCGGCGAAAGCCGGAUUAAUACCGCAGACGAUCUACGGAUGAAAGAGGGGGCACUUGGGGCCUCGCGCUUUGGGGUUGGUCGAUGGCGGAUUAGCUAGUUGGUGGGGUAAAGGCCUACCAAGGCGACGAUCAGUAGCUGGUCUGAGAGGACGACCAGCCACACUGGAACUGAGACACGGCCCAGACUCCUACGGGAGGCAGCAGUGGGGUAUUUUGGACAAUGGGCGAAAGCCUGAUCCAGCAAUGCCGCGUGUGUGAAGAAGGCCUUCGGGUUGUAAAGCACUGUUGUCCGGGAAGAACUACUUGGCCCUAAUACGGUCGGGGGAUGACGGUACCGGAAGAAUAAGCACCGGCUAACUACGUG
RNAcentral lists this ribosomal RNA (486 nucleotides) under uncultured bacterium. RNAcentral describes it as "partial 16S ribosomal RNA". It matches the Rfam family "Bacterial small subunit ribosomal RNA", at positions 30 to 507 of the family's 1533-position model. The record is from RNAcentral.